AUUGAACGCUGGCGGCAGGCCUAACACAUGCAAGUCGAGCGGAUGAAGGGAGCUUGCUCCUGGAUUCAGCGGCGGACGGGUGAGUAAUGCCUAGGAAUCUGCCUGGUAGUGGGGGAUAACGUCCGGAAACGGGCGCUAAUACCGCAUACGUCCUGAGGGAGAAAGUGGGGGAUCUUCGGACCUCACGCUAUCAGAUGAGCCUAGGUCGGAUUAGCUAGUUGGUGGGGUAAAGGCCUACCAAGGCGACGAUCCGUAACUGGUCUGAGAGGAUGAUCAGUCACACUGGAACUGAGACACGGCCCAGACUCCUACGGGAGGCAGCAGUGGGGAAUAUUGGACAAUGGGCGAAAGCUUGAUCCAGCAAUGCCGCGUGUGUGAAGAAGGUCUUCGGAUUGUAAAGCUCUUUAAGUGGGGAGGAAGGACAGUAAGUUAAUACCUGCCUGUUUUGACGUUACCAACAGAAUAAGCACCGGCUAACUUCGUG
Molecule: ribosomal RNA, 484 nt
Filed under: uncultured bacterium
Lineage: Bacteria
Description: partial 16S ribosomal RNA
Rfam family: Bacterial small subunit ribosomal RNA
Source: RNAcentral